GAUGAACGCUGGCGGCGUGCCUAAUACAUGCAAGUCGAGCGAACAGACGAGGAGCUUGCUCCUCUGACGUUAGCGGCGGACGGGUGAGUAACACGUGGCUAACCUACCUAUCAGACUGGGAUAACUUCGGGAAACCGGAGCUAAUACCGGAUAAUAUAUUCAACCGCAUGGUUCAAUAGUGAAAGACGGCUUUGCUGUCACUUAUAGAUGAUUCCGCGCCGCAUUAGCUAGUUGGUAAGGUAACGGCUUACCAAGGCACCGAUGCGUAGCCGACCUGAGAAGGUGAUCGGCCACACUGGAACGGAGACACGGUCCAAAGUCCUACGGGAGGCAGCAGUAGGGAAUCUUCCGCAAUGGGCGAAAGCCUGACGGAGCAACGCCGCGUGAGUGAUGAAGGUCUUCGGAUCGUAAAACUCUGUUAUUAGGGAAGAACAAAUGUGUAAGUAACUAUGCACGUCUUGACGGUACCUAAUCAGAAAGCCACGGCUAACUACGUG
Molecule: ribosomal RNA, 497 nt
Filed under: uncultured bacterium
Lineage: Bacteria
Description: partial 16S ribosomal RNA
Rfam family: Bacterial small subunit ribosomal RNA
Source: RNAcentral